GAGAAAAAGGCUUAGCCAGUUUAUACAAGUAUAACAACCACCAAUAGUUUUGACAAGUAGGAACCAAGAGAUGAUUAGUAUUACCGUUACGGUCAUGCUCAUAACUUACUCUUCAUCAAUGGUCCCAUUGCCUUUGCCUUGUCCCGCAGCAGGUGCUUCUGUACUUUACCGGUAGCAGUCUUUGGCAAUGGCCCGAAAACAACUGAUUUUGGAACCCAGUAUCUAGGCAAUGUAGCCCGACAGAACUUCAUAAUAUCUUCUGCCAUUCUUUGUUC
This 275-nucleotide long non-coding RNA is filed under the name Daucus carota (carrot). Its description in RNAcentral is "long non-coding RNA (DCAR_LNC004671)". Lineage: Eukaryota; Viridiplantae; Streptophyta; Magnoliopsida; Apiales; Apiaceae. The record is from RNAcentral.